AUCCGGCUGACGAUCCCAAAAUAGGACGAAAUACGUGUCCUAGAU
Molecule: non-coding RNA, 45 nt
Filed under: Schistosoma mansoni
Lineage: Eukaryota; Metazoa; Platyhelminthes; Trematoda; Strigeidida; Schistosomatidae
Source: RNAcentral